UGAACGCUUACAACUGAUCCGUCAGCACAGACCAGCGAUGGCCUUCACUGCACUCUUCCUGUGGUCUCUCGUCGUCUGCAUUCAAGAUUCCAUGGGACAGGUCACUCUUACGCAACCUCCAACAGUGACCAGCAGUCCAGGAGGCUCGGUUAAAAUCAGCUGUAAACGGACUGGAAGCAUUCAUUGGGACUGUUCUUCUCCAAAUAAAUGCAUCUCCUGGUACCAACAGCAGUCUGGAGAGAAACCCAAACUCCUCAUCUACUACGUGAGCAGCCUCCAGUCUGGUAUUCCAUCUCGGUUUAGUGGCAGUGGAUCUGGGAAUGACUUCAGUCUGACCAUCAGUGGAGUCCAGAGUGAAGAUGCAGGAGAUUAUUACUGCAUGAGUUACCAUGACAUCAGAAAGGAUGUCGGUGAGUUCCCACGGUGAUACAGAGCCGUACAAAAACCUGCUUCAGUCAGUAGCCCCAGUGAGAGCCCUCUGCUGCAGCUGGAGCCCAGAGCAGGUGCUGAGAAGAGGGAAGUGGAGAGGAGUCACAUGGACAUGACACCAGGUUCCCACGCUAGUCUCUCACCACCAACACCUUACCUUUUAAACCAUGCUGGAAGCACACGGACAUGACACCAGGUUCCCACGCUAGUCUCUCACCACCAACACCUUACCUUUUAAACCAUGCUGGAAGCACACGGACAUGACACCAGGUUCUCACGCUAGUCAAUCACUACCAUCUUACCUUUUUAACCAUGCUGGAAGAGGACACAGACAUGACACCAGGUUCUCACGCUAGUCUCUCACCACCAACACCUUACCUUUUAAACCAUGCUGGAAGCACACGGACAUGACACCAGAGGUGAGUUCAAAUUUGGUAAACAGUGGAAAACGAGCCUGGCGAAUAUGUUUUCUCUAAACAGUUCAAUUUGAACUGGUUUGGUGUUAACAUCCCUAUGUAACAGCCAGCUCACGUUAGGCUACCCCCUUAGUGUCUGGGUUGGUUUGUAAAGGAGUUGCAGUAAAAGACUGUAAAGGACUGUCAUUUUGUAAACAAAAACCGAUAUCAACAUGGAGACCUAAACAACAGAAGCUGUAGAUCAUUCAGACUGCCUAGUGACCUCAAUCCUGUGUGUGAACAUCCAGUUACAGUAAGAUGACCCACACUGUGCCUUCAGCCUGCAGCACUCUAAUGGUCAGGGGGAAGAUGACCCUGACCCUCUGCCACUGAACCGAACUGGAACACCAGAACCUCCGGAUGUAGUCUGCUGUACAGUACCUGGACAGUCAUAGAUCACCUGUGGGAUCACCUGUGGGUCCCUUCAGCAGUCCUGAUAUGGAGGUGGACUUGUUACUCCUGGAUUAACAGUGUUUCAGUGCAAGAGAUCACACACAUAUUGUUUGGAAUUACAAAUAUAUUGCUUCCUCUCACAAAUACUGCUUGGGAUAUUGGGAUAUUCUGCUCAGGCUAUAUGAUCUGAGGAUGACAAGCAUUAAUCAAGUCUAAUAAUUGAAAUACAUUACCCUGAAAAGAUAUGAAAAGUGUCCAGAGAAAGAUGGAGAUAAAAAGUCAUGUCUGUAGAGAAUUGUAAACGUAGCACAGCCUGCACUUAUACAGUACUAUCAUCAAAAGAUGGUUAGUGGCUAUAAUGUGUUUAGCCUGCAGAACGAUGACGUAAUAAUGACGUAAGAGGAGCUGUCCUUACCGGGUGUGGUGCUGAAAUGCCAACAUGACAAAUGCCAUUAGUGAAUAUCUUUUGUGUUACAUCUAGAAACAUUAAAAUUGUAAUUUCAUAUCACUGUUGGAUUGAUUGAUUGGUGGAUUGAUUGGUUGGUCUUGACAAACUAAAAUACGUCCUGUCUGGCUGUGGUGCGGAAAUGUUGCAGAAUUGCUAAAUCUAUAUCAAUGUAAGAAUUGUAAUUUCAUGUCACUAUACUAUUUAAUAAAGGAAAGCAUCCUUGCAA
Alosa sapidissima (American shad) is the source of this 1951-nucleotide non-coding RNA. Lineage: Eukaryota; Metazoa; Chordata; Actinopteri; Clupeiformes; Clupeidae. The record is from the annotation of a RefSeq genome assembly.